RNAcentral lists this ribosomal RNA (465 nucleotides) under Vreelandella stevensii. RNAcentral's name for it is "partial 16S ribosomal RNA". It matches the Rfam family "Bacterial small subunit ribosomal RNA", at positions 338 to 795 of the family's 1533-position model. Lineage: Bacteria; Pseudomonadati; Pseudomonadota; Gammaproteobacteria; Oceanospirillales; Halomonadaceae. The record is from RNAcentral.
CCUACGGGGGGCAGCAGUGGGGAAUAUUGGACAAUGGGGGCAACCCUGAUCCAGCCAUGCCGCGUGUGUGAAGAAGGCCCUCGGGUUGUAAAGCACUUUCAGUGAGGAAGAACGCCUGGUGGUUAAUACCCAUCAGGAAAGACAUCACUCACAGAAGAAGCACCGGCUAACUCCGUGCCAGCAGCCGCGGUAAUACGGAGGGUGCGAGCGUUAAUCGGAAUUACUGGGCGUAAAGCGCGCGUAGGUGGCUUGAUAAGCCGGUUGUGAAAGCCCCGGGCUCAACCUGGGAACGGCAUCCGGAACUGGCAAGCUAGAGUGCAGGAGAGGAAGGUAGAAUUCUCGGUGUAGCGGUGAAAUGCGUAGAGAUCGGGAGGAAUACCAGUGGCGAAGGCGGCCUUCUGGACUGACACUGACACUGAGGUGCGAAAGCGUGGGUAGCAAACAGGAUUAGAUACCCCGGUAGUC